RNAcentral lists this ribosomal RNA (468 nucleotides) under uncultured bacterium. RNAcentral's name for it is "partial 16S ribosomal RNA". It matches the Rfam family "Bacterial small subunit ribosomal RNA", at positions 28 to 507 of the family's 1533-position model. The record is from RNAcentral.
GACGAACGCUGGCGGCGUGCUUAACACAUGCAAGUCGAACGGAAAGGCCCUGCUUUUGUGGGGUGCUCGAGUGGCGAACGGGUGAGUAACACGUGAGUAACCUGCCCUUGACUUUGGGAUAACUUCAGGAAACUGGGGCUAAUACCGGAUAGGAGCUCCUGCUGCUUGGUGGGGGUUGGAAAGUUUCGGCGGUUGGGGAUGGACUGGCGGCUUAUCAGCUGGUUGGUGGGGUGGUGGCUUGCCAAGGCUUUGACGGGUAGCCGGCCUGAGAGGGUGACCGGCAACAUGGGGACUGAGAUACGGCCCAGACUCCUACGGGAGGCAGCAGUGGGGAAUAUUGCACAAUGGGCGGAAGCCUGAUGCAGCAACGCCGCGUGCGGGAUGACGGCCUUCGGGGUGUAAACCGCUUUCGCCUGUGACGAAGCGUGAGUGACGGUAAUGGGUAAAGAAGCACCGGCUAACUACGUG